This 377-nucleotide ribosomal RNA is filed under the name uncultured bacterium. RNAcentral describes it as "bacterial SSU rRNA". It matches the Rfam family "Bacterial small subunit ribosomal RNA", at positions 523 to 898 of the family's 1533-position model. The record is from RNAcentral.
AUACGUAGGGGGCGAGCGUUGUCCGGAAUUACUGGGCGUAAAGGGCGUGUAGGCGGCCUGGCAAGUCGGCUGUGAAAUCCCCCGGCUCAACCGGGGAGUGGCAGUCGAAACUGUUGGGCUUGAGUGCAGGAGAGGAGGGUGGAAUUCCUGGUGUAGCGGUGAAAUGCGUAGAUAUCAGGAGGAACACCGGUGGCGAAGGCGACCUUCUGGCCUGUUACUGACGCUGAGGCGCGAAAGCCAGGGGAGCGAACAGGAUUAGAUACCCUGGUAGUCCUGGCUGUAAACGCUGGGUACUAGGUGUAGGGGGUUUAGAUACCUUCUGUGCCGUAGUUAACGCAUUAAGUACCCCGCCUGGGGAGUACGGUCGCAAGGCUGAA